This 257-nucleotide ribosomal RNA is filed under the name uncultured bacterium. RNAcentral describes it as "partial 16S ribosomal RNA". It matches the Rfam family "Bacterial small subunit ribosomal RNA", at positions 335 to 585 of the family's 1533-position model. The record is from RNAcentral.
ACCCUACGGGGCGCAGCAGUAGGGAAUCUUCCACAAUGGACGAAAGUCUGAUGGAGCAACGCCGCGUGAGUGAAGAAGGGUUUCGGCUCGUAAAGCUCUGGUGGUAGUGAAGAAAGAUAGAGGUAGUAACUGGCCUUUAUUUGACGGUAAUUACUUAGAAAGUCAAGGCUAACUACGUGCCAGCAGCCGCGGUAAUACGUAGGGGGCAAGCGUUGUCUGGAUUUAUUGGGCGUAAAGCGAGUGCAGGCGGAUGCAAA